Molecule: ribosomal RNA, 1378 nt
Filed under: uncultured bacterium
Lineage: Bacteria
Description: bacterial SSU rRNA
Rfam family: Bacterial small subunit ribosomal RNA
Source: RNAcentral
GAUCCUGGCUCAGAACGAACGCUGGCGGCAGGCCUAACACAUGCAAGUCGAACGCUCUCCGGAGGGAGUGGCAGACGGGUGAGUAACACGUGGGAAACUACCUAGUGGUACGGAAUAUGAGGGAAACUUCGGCUAAUACCGUAUAAGCCCUUUGGGGGAAAGAUUUAUCGCCAUUAUGUGCCCGCGUCGGAUUAGCUUGUUGGUAGGGUAAUGGCCUACCAAGGCGACGAUCCAGCUGGUCUGAGAGGAUGAUCAGCCACACUGGGACUGAGACGCGGCCCAGACUCCUACGAGGCAGCAGUGGGGAAUAUUGGACAAUGGGCGAAAGCCUGAUCCAGCCAUGCCGCGUGUGACGAAGGCCUUAGGGUUGUAAAGCUCUUUUAGCAGGGACGAUAAUGACGGUACCUAGAAUAAGCCCCGGCUAACUUCGUGCCAGCAGCCGCGGUAAUACGAAGGGGGCUAGCGGUUCGGAAUCACUGGGCGUAAAGCGCACGUAGGUGGAUCAAUUAGUUGAGGGUGAAAUCGGGGCUUAACCUCGGAACUGCCUUCAAUACUGUUGAUCUUGAGUCCGAGAGAGGUGAGGAAUUCCUAGUGUAGAGGUGAAAUUCGUAGAUAUUAGGAAGAACACCAGUGGCGAAGGGCUCACUGGCUCGGUACUGACGCUGAGGUGCGAAAGCGUGGGGAGCAAACAGGAUUAUACCCUGGUAGUCCACGCCGUAAACGAUGAUUGCUAGCUGUCAGGUGGCAUGCCAUUUUGGCGCAGCUAACGCAUUAAGCAAUCCGCCUGGGGAGUACGGUCGCAAGAUUAAAACUAAGGAAUUGACGGGGGCCCGCACAAGCGGUGGGGCAUGUGGUUUAAUUCGACGCAACGAAGAACCUUACCAGCUCUUGACAUUUACUGAACGUUUCUGGAGACAGAUUCAUCCUAGAUAGGCAGUAGGACAGGUGCUGCAUGGCUGUCGUCAGCUCGUGUCGUGAGAUGUUGGGAAGUCCCGCAACGAGCGCAACCCUCGCCAUUAGUUGCCAGCAUUUAGUUGGGCACUCUUGGGACUGCCGGUGAUAAGCCGGAGGAAGGUGGGGAUGACGUCAAGUCAUCAUGGCCCACGGGCUGGGCUACACACGUGCUACAAUGGCGGUGACAGUGGGCAGCCACUCAGCAAUGGAGCUAAUCCCAAAAAGCCGUCUCAGUUCGGAUUAGUCUCUGCAACUCGAGACUAUGGUUGGAAUCGCUAGUAAUCGUGGAUCAGCAUGCCACGGUGAAUACGUUCCCGGGCCUUACACACCGCCCGUCACACCACGGGAGUUGGUUUUACCCGAAGGUAGUGCGCUAACCGCGGAGGCAGCUAACCACGGUAGGGUCAGCGACUGGGGUGAAGUC